GUUGGGUAGGGGAGCGUUCUGUAAGCCUGCGAAGGUGUACUGUGAGGUAUGCUGGAGGUAUCAGAAGUGCGAAUGCUGACAUAAGUAACGAUAAUGCGGGUGAAAAACCCGCACGCCGGAAGACCAAGGGUUCCUGUCCAACGUUAAUCGGGGCAGGGUGAGUCGACCCCUAAGGCGAGGCUGAAAAGCGUAGUCGAUGGGAAACGGGUUAAUAUUCCCGUACUGGUGGUAACUGCGAUGGGGGAACGGAGAAGGCUAGGUUGUCCGGGCGACGGUCGUCCCGGUUCAAGCAUGUAGGCAGAGUGAUUAGGCAAAUCCGGUCACUUAAUGCUGAGGUGUGAUGACGAACCACUAAGGUGGUGAAGCAAUUGAUGCCCUGCUUCCAGGAAAAGCCUCUAAGCUUCAGGUUACCAACAAUCGUACCCCAAACCGACACAGGUGGUCAGGUAGAGAAUACUCAGGCGCUUGAGAGAACUCGGGUGAAGGAACUAGGCAAAAUGGUGCCGUAACUUCGGGAGAAGGCACGCUGGCGGUAAGUGAAGUCCCUCGCGGACGGAGCCGAAGCCAGUCGAAGAUACCAGCUGGCUGCAACUGUUUAUUAAAAACACAGCACUGUGCAAACACGAAAGUGGACGUAUACGGUGUGACGCCUGCCCGGUGCUGGAAGGUUAAUUGAUGGGGUUAUCCGUAAGGAGAAGCUCUUGAUCGAAGCCCCAGUAAACGGCGGCCGUAACUAUAACGGUCCUAAGGUAGCGAAAUUCCUUGUCGGGUAAGUUCCGACCUGCACGAAUGGCGUAAUGAUGGCCAGGCUGUCUCCACCCGAGACUCAGUGAAAUUGAACUCGCUGUGAAGAUGCAGUGUACCCGCGGCAAGACGGAAAGACCCCGUGAACCUUUACUAUAGCUUGACACUGAACAUUGAGCCUUGAUGUGUAGGAUAGGUGGGAGACUAUGAAGUGUGGACGCCAGUCUGCAUGGAGUCAACCUUGAAAUACCACCCUUUAACGUUUGAUGUUCUAACCUAGGCCCGUAAUCCGGGUCGGGGACCGUGUCUGGUGGGUAGUUUGACUGGGGCGGUCUCCUCCUAAAGAGUAACGGAGGAGCACGAAGGUUGGCUAAGCAUGGUCGGACAUCAUGCGGUUAGUGCAAAGGCAUAAGCCAGCUUGACUGUGAGAGUGACGGCUCGAGCAGGUACGAAAGUAGGUCUUAGUGAUCCGGUGGUUCUGAAUGGAAGGGCCAUCGCUCAACGGAUAAAAGGUACUCCGGGGAUAACAGGCUGAUACCGCCCAAGAGUUCAUAUCGACGGCGGUGUUUGGCACCUCGAUGUCGGCUCAUCACAUCCUGGGGCUGAAGUAGGUCCCAAGGGUAUGGCUGUUCGCCAUUUAAAGUGGUACGCGAGCUGGGUUUAGAACGUCGUGAGACAGUUCGGUCCCUAUCUGCCGUGGGCGUUGGAAGAUUGAGAGGGGUUGCUCCUAGUACGAGAGGACCGGAGUGAACGCACCACUGGUGUUCGGGUUGUCAUGCCAAUGGCAUUGCCCGGUAGCUAAGUGCGGAAGAGAUAACCGCUGAAAGCAUCUAAGCGGGAAACUUGCCUCGAGAUGAGUCUUCCCUGUCACCUUGAGUGACCUAAAGGAACGUUUAAGACUAAGACGUUGAUAGGCUGGGUGUGUAAGCGUAGCGAUACGUUGAGCUAACCAGUACUAAUGAACCGUGAGGCUUAACCUG
Molecule: ribosomal RNA, 1724 nt
Filed under: Proteus terrae
Lineage: Bacteria; Pseudomonadati; Pseudomonadota; Gammaproteobacteria; Enterobacterales; Morganellaceae
Description: partial 23S ribosomal RNA
Rfam family: Bacterial large subunit ribosomal RNA
Source: RNAcentral